Molecule: ribosomal RNA, 238 nt
Filed under: uncultured bacterium
Lineage: Bacteria
Description: partial 16S ribosomal RNA
Rfam family: Bacterial small subunit ribosomal RNA
Source: RNAcentral
CGUUGCUCGGAAUUAUUGGGCGUAAAGCGCACGUAGGCGGUUUGUUAAGUCGGAUGUGAAAUCCCUCGGCUCAACUGAGGAAGUGCAUCCGAAACUGGCAAGCUUGAGUACGAAAGAGGGUCGCGGAAUUCCCGGUGUAGAGGUGAAAUUCGUAGAUAUCGGGAGGAACACCGGUGGCGAAGGCGGCGACCUGGGUCGAUACUGACGCUGAGGUGCGAAAGCGUGGGGAGCAAACAGG